Molecule: ribosomal RNA, 468 nt
Filed under: uncultured bacterium
Lineage: Bacteria
Description: partial 16S ribosomal RNA
Rfam family: Bacterial small subunit ribosomal RNA
Source: RNAcentral
GACGAACGCUGGCGGCGUGCUUAACACAUGCAAGUCGAACGGAAAGGCCCUGCUUUUGUGGGGUGCUCGAGUGGCGAACGGGUGAGUAACACGUGAGUAACCUGCCCUUGACUUUGGGAUAACUUCAGGAAACUGGGGCUAAUACCGGAUAGGAGCUCCUGCUGCAUGGUGGGGGUUGGAAAGCUUCGGCGGGUGGGGAUGGACUCGCGGCUUAUCAGCUUGUUGGUGGGGUAGUGGCUUACCAAGGCUUUGACGGGUAGCCGGCCUGAGAGGGUGACCGGCGACAUUGGGACUGAGAUACGGCCCAGACUCCUACGGGAGGCAGCAGUGGGGAAUAUUGCACAAUGGGCGGAAGCCUGAUGCAGAAACGCCGCGUGCGGGAUGACGGCCUUCGGGUUGUAAACCGCUUUCGCCUGUGACGAAGCGUGAGUGACGGUAAUGGGUAAAGAAGCACCGGCUAACUACGUG